This 648-nucleotide ribosomal RNA is filed under the name uncultured fungus. Its description in RNAcentral is "LSU rRNA". It matches the Rfam family "Eukaryotic large subunit ribosomal RNA", at positions 38 to 667 of the family's 3401-position model. Lineage: Eukaryota; Fungi. The record is from RNAcentral.
GCAUAUCAAUAAGCGGAGGAAAAGAAAUUAACUAAGAUUGCCCCAGUAACGGCGAGUGAAGCGGCAAGAGCCCAACAUGAAAAUCUUCACGCAUUCCGCGUAACGAGUUGUACAGUAUAGGGGAGUCGCUCAACUGGUGUGGGCGCAGAAGUGCCUUAGAACAGGCCGCCAAAGAGGGUGACAGCCCCGUAUGUGGUGCCAACACCAAACGAGCUGCUUUCCGAAGAGUCGGGUUGUUUUGUAUUGCAGCCCUAAGUGGGAGAUAAACUUCUUCUAAGGCUAAAUAUUUACGGGAAACCGAUAGCGAACAAGUACUGUGAAGGAAAGAUGAAAAGAACUUUGAAAAGAGAGUUAAUAGACUUGAAAUCGUUGAGAAGGAAGCGGUAGAAAUGUAUUCUUCGGCGGUGAACGGUGAAGGUUGUCUAGCUUCUUUUGGCCGCUUGCACUUCAACGGCAGCGGCUAUUAUCAAGGGAAACGGCCUUCUUGUUCUUCGUCGUGAGGCAAAAUGGGGUUACUCUCUUUCAGAAGCUUGCCUUAGUUGGCCCGAUUCGUUGGGCACUCUGGCUUUGCUGGAUUGGGAGUGGCUCGAGGGGCUUCGUGCGAUUUUGCCAAAAUGGUUUUUACCGACCCGUCUUGAAACACGGACC